Molecule: unclassified non-coding RNA, 596 nt
Filed under: Hevea brasiliensis (rubber tree)
Lineage: Eukaryota; Viridiplantae; Streptophyta; Magnoliopsida; Malpighiales; Euphorbiaceae
Source: RNAcentral
UUGGAAUGAUACUGCCGCAGCCUGCAUGUCAUAGUCAAGACUAUCAUCUUAACAGAAACAAUAAGGCUCCUUGAGAAAACUAUUUGACUUGGCAAACAUUAACAUCUUUAUGUGGAUCUCCUUUUUCCAUUAGUCAUUUAAACAGCUUUUGUGAUGGAGUAGUUGUUUUGUUUAGUAGCUGAUGCUUUGCUUUACAAUGUGACUAAAUAUGUUAACUUGACAUGCAAAGUCAGUUUAAAUGAUGAAUGGAAGUGCAGGCUAUUUUCAAAAAACCCUGAGUAUGAUGUAUUGGUUCUCUAUUGGGUUCAGUUUUUACUGCUGCUUUCUUAGCAAUUUUUGGCCAGCCAUGUCUUAUUCCAAUUUUUAAUGACUCUUGAUAGAACUUCCAAUUACUUGUAUCAAAUGUAAUGUAUUGAUGUGAAAUUCUUAUUCAGAGUUUGGAGCUUUUCGUUGUUUGAUAUAUACUUCUUUUUACUUCUUGGUUUGAUGUGGUAAGCUCUAGUUGGAAUUCCCAUAUUCCUUGUGCCAACUCUGAUGUUCUUCUUUGUAAUAAGCGUAGCUUUCUUUUCUUAUAGCUUUACUGUGAGAAGGAAAGG